UCUAGCAAGGUUCAUAAAAACUGGAGUAUAUAAAAAGAGGAGAUACCACAGAGAAGCAAGAAUCCUCUUAAUGCUGUAUGGACGUAUAAUCGUCAGCAUUCCCCACUGAAGAAAAGGAUGAUGACUGCAUUGUCCCAAAGGCUUUUCUCCAUCCUGGAUAUAGCGACAUGGAGUGAAGAAGAAAGGAGAAGAUUUCUUGCACUUUAUUAUGGCUCACCUAAGAGUGAAAUGACUGACAGCUGCUUUAGAAUUGUUGAGAAAGAGAAGGAAGCAAAACACACGGACUAGAGUUUGAACAAAUCGGCACCCCUUUCUCUUUUUCUUCUUCAUCACCCCCUCACUCACCGACUCAUCAGCCAGGCCACAACAACGAUGCCACCACUACCCACUCCUCUACUGUUUGUUCAACCACCAUAAGAAAAGCCCAGCUAAGACUACGCCCACUUCUGCUGCUACAACACACCUUCCUGCAGACCACAUUUCUGUUUGAGAUCCCGCCCCUUCCUAUCUUCCACCUAUAAAACCCCAGCACUCCACUCUCCAAAUCAGUCAUUGUUUUUGGCUCAC
Molecule: long non-coding RNA, 567 nt
Organism: Polypterus senegalus (gray bichir)
Lineage: Eukaryota; Metazoa; Chordata; Cladistia; Polypteriformes; Polypteridae
Exons: 4
Source: RefSeq, a predicted model, not a curated record